This 307-nucleotide ribosomal RNA is filed under the name Zorodictyna sp. CG45. Its description in RNAcentral is "partial 12S ribosomal RNA". Lineage: Eukaryota; Metazoa; Arthropoda; Arachnida; Araneae; Udubidae. The record is from RNAcentral.
AGGUAGUAUGGCAAAAAAAACCUAUUUAUUAUGGCGGCAUUUAUCUAAUUAAAGGAACUUGUUAUCUAAUCGAUAAUCCACGAUAAAUUUCACCUUUAUAAACAAUUUAUAUAUCGCCAUUUAAAGAAUUUUUAUAAAAACUUUUUCAAAAUAAAAAAUAAAAAAUUAGGUCAAGGUGUAAUCAAUAUAAAUGUAUUAAUGAGUUACAUUAAACACAAUUUAAAAAUUUGCAUUAAAACUUCAUAUAUAAAGAAUUUAUAAGUAAUAAUUAACUAAUAUUUAUUCAUGAAAUAGAUAAUAAAUGUGU